This 22-nucleotide non-coding RNA is filed under the name Arabidopsis thaliana (thale cress). Lineage: Eukaryota; Viridiplantae; Streptophyta; Magnoliopsida; Brassicales; Brassicaceae. The record is from RNAcentral.
AGAGCUCCUUGAAGUUCAAUGG